GUAGGAUAGAGGCCUACCAUGGUGGUAACGGGUAACGGGGUGUUAGGGCACGACACCGGAGAGGGAGCCUGAGAAACGGCUACCACAUCCAAGGAAGGCAGCAGGCGCGCAAAUUACCCAAUCCCGACAUGGGGAGGUAGUGACAAUAAAUAACAAUACAGGGUUCUUUUGGAUCUUGUAAUUGGAAUGAGUACAAUUUAAAUCUCUUAACGAGGAACAAUUGGAGGGCAAGUCUGGUGCCAGCAGCCGCGGUAAUUCCAGCUCCAAUAGCGUAUAUUAAAGUUGUUGCAGUUAAAAAGCUCGUAGUUGAAUUUCGGGAUCAAGGAAUCGGUCAUGCCUCGGUAUGUACUGGUUUUAUUGGUUCUCACCUUCUAAAGAACCAUAAUGUCAUUCAUUUGAUGUUAUGGGGAAUUAGGACUGUUACCUUGAAAAAAUUAGAGUGUUUAAAGCAGGCUUACGCUUGAAUACAUUAGCACGGAAUAAUGAAAUAGGACAUCAGAUUCUAUUUUUGUUGGUUUCUAGGAUCGAUGUAAUGAUUAAUAGGGAUAGUUGGG
RNAcentral lists this ribosomal RNA (554 nucleotides) under uncultured Glomus. RNAcentral describes it as "SSU rRNA". It matches the Rfam family "Eukaryotic small subunit ribosomal RNA", at positions 328 to 886 of the family's 1831-position model. The record is from RNAcentral. Lineage: Eukaryota; Fungi; Glomeromycota; Glomeromycetes; Glomerales; Glomeraceae.